This 410-nucleotide ribosomal RNA is filed under the name uncultured microorganism. RNAcentral's name for it is "bacterial SSU rRNA". It matches the Rfam family "Bacterial small subunit ribosomal RNA", at positions 509 to 917 of the family's 1533-position model. The record is from RNAcentral.
CAGCCGCCGCGGUAAUACGUAGGGUGCGAGCGUUAAUCGGAUUUACUGGGCGUAAAGCGUGCGCAGGCGGCCCGUUAAGACAGGUGUGAAAUCCCUGGGCUCAACCUAGGAAUUGCGCUUGUGACUGGCGGGCUCGAGUACGGUAGAGGGGGGUGGAAUUCCUGGUGUAGCAGUGGAAUGCGUAGAGAUCAGGAGGAAAACCGAUGGCGAAGGCAGCCCCCUGGGCCUGUACUGACGCUCAUGCACGAAAGCGUGGGGAGCAAACAGGAUUAGAUACCCUGGUAGUCCACGCCCUAAACGAUGGGUACUAGCCGUUUGGUGAGCGAUAGCGCUGAGUGGCGAAGCUAACGCGUGAAGUACCCCGCCUGGGGAGUACAGCCGCAAGGUUGAAACUUAAAGGAAUUGGCGGG